Molecule: ribosomal RNA, 429 nt
Filed under: Bacteroidota bacterium
Lineage: Bacteria; Pseudomonadati; Bacteroidota
Description: Bacteroidetes bacterium partial 16S ribosomal RNA
Rfam family: Bacterial small subunit ribosomal RNA
Source: RNAcentral
UAGGGAAUCUUCCGCAAUGGACGCAAGUCUGACGGAGCAACGCCGCGUGAGUGAAGAAGGAUUUCGGUUCGUAAAACUCUGUUGUUAGAGAAGAACAGCGCAUAGAGUAACUGUUAUGCGUGUGACGGUAUCUAACCAGAAAGCCACGGCUAACUACGUGCCAGCAGCCGCGGUAAUACGUAGGUGGCAAGCGUUGUCCGGAUUUAUUGGGCGUAAAGCGAGCGCAGGCGGUCAAUUAAGUCUGAUGUGAAAGCCCCCGGCUCAACCGGGGAGGGUCAUUGGAAACUGGUUGACUGGAGUGGAGAAGAGGAGAGUGGAAUUCCAUGUGUAGCGGGGAAAUGCGGAGAUAUAUGGAGGAACACCAGUGGCGAAGGCGACUCUCUGGUCUGUAACUGACGCUGAGGUUCGAAAGCGUGGGUAGCAAACAGG